This 490-nucleotide ribosomal RNA is filed under the name uncultured bacterium. Its description in RNAcentral is "partial 16S ribosomal RNA". It matches the Rfam family "Bacterial small subunit ribosomal RNA", at positions 28 to 507 of the family's 1533-position model. The record is from RNAcentral.
GAUGAACGCUAGCUACAGGCUUAACACAUGCAAGUCGAGGGGAAACGAUGAGAGAGCUUGCUCUCUUAGGCGUCGACCGGCGCACGGGUGAGUAACGCGUAUCCAACCUACCCAUUACAGGGGGAUAACCUUGCGAAAGUAAGACUAAUACCCCAUGGCAUUUUAUGGUGGCAUCAUUAUAGGAUUAAAGAUUUAUUGGUAAUGGAUGGGGAUGCGUCUGAUUAGCUUGUUGGCGGGGUAACGGCCCACCAAGGCAACGAUCAGUAGGGGUUCUGAGAGGAAGGUCCCCCACAUUGGAACUGAGACACGGUCCAAACUCCUACGGGAGGCAGCAGUGAGGAAUAGUGGGCAAUGGGCGAGAGCUUGAACCAGCCAAGUAGCGUGCAGGAGGACGGCCCUAUGGGUUGUAAACUGCUUUUAGAGGGGAAUAAAGUGAGCUACGUGUAGUUUAUUGCAUGUACCCGAUGAAUAAGGACCGGCUAAUUCCGUG